Molecule: ribosomal RNA, 253 nt
Filed under: uncultured bacterium
Lineage: Bacteria
Description: partial 16S ribosomal RNA
Rfam family: Bacterial small subunit ribosomal RNA
Source: RNAcentral
UACGUAGGGGGCAAGCGUUAUCCGGAUUUACUGGGUGUAAAGGGGGCGCAGACGGCGACGCAAGCCAGGAGUGAAAGCCCGGGGCCCAACCCCGGGACUUCUCUUGGAACUGCGUGGCUGGAGUGCAGGAGGGGCAGGCGGAAUUCCUGGUGUAGCGGUGAAAUGCGUAGAUAUCAGGAGGAACACCGGUGGCGAAGGCGGCCUGCUGGACUGCAACUGACGUUGAGGCCCGAAAGCGUGGGGAGCAAACAGG